CCUACGGGUGGCAGCAGUAGGGAAUAUUGCUCAAUGGGGGAAACCCUGAAGCAGCAACGCCGCGUGGAGGAUGAAGGUUUUCGGAUUGUAAACUCCUUUUGUUAGAGAAGAUAAUGACGGUCUCUAACGAAUAAGCACCGGCUAACUCGUGGCAGGAGUCCGCGGUAAUACGAAGGGUGCAACCGUGACACGGAAUAACGGGGCUUAAAGGGCGCGUAGACGGGAUAGCAAGUCAGAUGUGAAAUCUUAUGGCUUAACCAUAGAACUGCAUUUGAAACUGUUAUUCUUGAGUAUGGAAGAGGUAGGUGGAAUUCUUGGUGUAGGGGUAAAAUCCGUAGAGAUCAAGAGGAAUACUCAUUGCGAAGGCGACCUGCUAGAACAUAACUGACGCUGAUGCGCGAAAGCGUGGGGAGCAAACAGGAUUAGAUACCCUGGUAGUC
RNAcentral lists this ribosomal RNA (440 nucleotides) under uncultured bacterium. RNAcentral describes it as "partial 16S ribosomal RNA". It matches the Rfam family "Bacterial small subunit ribosomal RNA", at positions 338 to 795 of the family's 1533-position model. The record is from RNAcentral.